This 490-nucleotide ribosomal RNA is filed under the name uncultured bacterium. RNAcentral's name for it is "partial 16S ribosomal RNA". It matches the Rfam family "Bacterial small subunit ribosomal RNA", at positions 30 to 507 of the family's 1533-position model. The record is from RNAcentral.
AUUGAACGCUGGCGGCAGGCCUAACACAUGCAAGUCGAACGGUAACAGGAAGAAGCUUGCUUCUUUGCUGACGAGUGGCGGACGGGUGAGUAAUGUCUGGGAAACUGCCUGAUGGAGGGGGAUAACUACUGGAAACGGUAGCUAAUACCGCAUAACGUCGCAAGACCAAAGAGGGGGACCUUCGGGCCUCUUGCCAUCGGAUGUGCCCAGAUGGGAUUAGCUAGUAGGUGGGGUAACGGCUCACCUAGGCGACGAUCCCUAGCUGGUCUGAGAGGAUGACCAGCCACACUGGAACUGAGACACGGUCCAGACUCCUACGGGAGGCAGCAGUGGGGAAUAUUGCACAAUGGGCGCAAGCCUGAUGCAGCCAUGCCGCGUGUAUGAAGAAGGCCUUCGGGUUGUAAAGUACUUUCAGCGGGGAGGAAGGGAGUAAAGUUAAUACCUUUGCUCAUUGACGUUACCCGCAGAAGAAGCAUCGGCUAACUCCGUG